ACAACUUUUCAUUGGUUUGUUGUGAUUUUUAAGGAAUUCCUUGUAUUGAGAUUAUAAAGUUCAUUAAUCCGACGAUCGAUCACUCCUUGAACGUCACAGAUUUUGAAAAUCGACAAAUCUUUUGAGCGACCUGCAAACAAAAUAUCAACUUGCAAUUGAUGCAGCAUUCCGAAAAAAGGAAAUGGCAGCACAGGCCACUUUAGGGGCCGCUUUAGCUGUCAUAAUAAGAAUGUUCGAGGACUCUAUUCUGAGCCAUCUAGCGUCAUCUAGGUGACAUGGGCACCUAUAGUCCUAAUAAGUGGGCAGAUCCUUUGCUCCUGCACAAAUGGCAGCUUGGCGUGGAAGAGGAUAUAGCCGAUGUUAUGCCGGCAACGAAUGUUCAGUCCUGUAAUCCAUUUUAAUCGUUGGCUAUCCCAAUCCGGAGGCACCACAAAACGGCACCCACAUAAUUGGUCCAGCCGCCUUCAACAACAAGGCUGAAAUUUAAAUAGGAGACUACGUUGUUCCUGAUUUGGUAAAAAAGGGAGGAAGAAGAACGACGGAUGCGACUGCAGGAAUUUAAUUUUUAGAGGACCGACCCUCUAGGAUUUUUUACGCAAGAUCCGUACCUAUAUAAUCUUGCUGUCAGCUCAACGACAUGAAAAUAAUCAGAGCCUGCGGAGUGUUCGAUCGAGUCUACAACGCUCUAAGACUAUAUACAUAUAUAAUUCUAAAUCAGCGACAAUCUAAAUAUCAGUUAUGACUUACGACUAAUUCUUUUUGUCCGACUCAUUCUUUAUUUCUUAUGGAAAACACAUAAAACUAAUUGAUUAAGAAAAUCAAUGUAUGAAUAAUAAUGAACAAAUAAAUAUGUAUUUUAUGAGAA
Drosophila serrata is the source of this 865-nucleotide long non-coding RNA. The record is from RefSeq and is a predicted model, not a curated record. NCBI's taxonomy places the organism in Eukaryota, Metazoa, Arthropoda, Insecta, Diptera, Drosophilidae.